RNAcentral lists this ribosomal RNA (270 nucleotides) under Escherichia coli. Its description in RNAcentral is "partial 16S ribosomal RNA". It matches the Rfam family "Bacterial small subunit ribosomal RNA", at positions 292 to 554 of the family's 1533-position model. Lineage: Bacteria; Pseudomonadati; Pseudomonadota; Gammaproteobacteria; Enterobacterales; Enterobacteriaceae. The record is from RNAcentral.
CUGAGAGGAUGACCAGCCACACUGGAACUGAGACACGGUCCAGACUCCUACGGGAGGCAGCAGUGGGGAAUAUUGCACAAUGGGCGCAAGCCUGAUGCAGCCAUGCCGCGUGUAUGAAGAAGGCCUUCGGGUUGUAAAGUACUUUCAGCGGGGAGGAAGGGAGUAAAGUUAAUACCUUUGCUCAUUGACGUUACCCGCAGAAGAAGCACCGGCUAACUCCGUGCCAGCAGCCGCGGUAAUACGGAGGGUGCAAGCGUUAAUCGGAAUUAC